Molecule: long non-coding RNA, 1357 nt
Organism: Strigops habroptila (Kakapo)
Lineage: Eukaryota; Metazoa; Chordata; Aves; Psittaciformes; Psittacidae
Source: Ensembl
GGCGGCGGGGCAGCGUUGAGGCGGCGGCGGACCCGACCCUGUCCCGGUGGCCGUCCCGGUCUGGUCCCGGUCUCCGUCCCGAGCCCCUCUGGGGUACCUGAGGCGGCUCCUGGCUGACCUUGCGGUGGCCCGAAGAAGGAGGGACCGCGGUUGUGUCCCUUCAGCGGCAAAGGGCAGGAUCCUGCCCUUUCGGCUGCUGCGCUGAAGGAUCUGACACAAACUGCCCUAUAUUUCAAAGGACGGAGCUUAACAGGACAGGAUAGGUGUGGAGCGGGGAGGAAGCCGAUGUCGACCCUGCGAUGGCUGCGGCGAGCAAGGGAGAACGGCUCCUGGAUCUCUGGAUUGUGAAAGCAGGAGCUGGUCCAGCAGAUGUGAUGUUUGCACCCUGUGUAUCAGCAUCCACACACUGUGAUUGUGCCCCAAAGUGGGGAAAUCCACGUGGGUUGGCCGUUUGUUUGCCUUGUUAACCAGCUUAGAGUCCAAGCAGCACCUUCCUAGAAAGAGUUCCAUUAAAAUGCAAAUGAAGACUCUGCAGAAAUUGUCUCUCGAUGCAAAGAAGGACUCGAUUUCUUACACUUAAGCAACACGGUGCCAGGCGGGUGUCCCGCUGCCUCCUGCACAUGCAGUCCUCUGCCUUCACCUCCUCAUACGUGUGUUUGCCAGUCCCUGUCACCUGCAGGUGAAAAGCACCGGAGCUGAACAGCCAGAAUCCCUUUUUCUACCCUCAAUGCUCAAGUGUUCCAUGUGAAGCUCUUCCCCGCAGCGCCUGCAGGUGCUAAAUCCUUCUGUUGUGUAAAUACUGCAAGUGCUCAGCCUGUCCUCAGAAGAGAGGUGGUUUCUCCUCAUAAAGGAGGGAAGAACGUGCGUGGGGGAAAAAGAACAGGAAAAAAGAGCUGGUGGAAAAAUCAGGGUAGUUCAUGAGAUUUUUGGUGUGCAAAGUGCCAGGAAUGAGGUGAACAAAGGAGAGGUCAAGAGCACAGAUGCACCUCUGUGAGAUUAAAGAGACUGUUUCUGGCUCAAAUCAAUGUCGUUUGCGCGCCACCAUGUCAGAGAGUUCAUCGAGGCAGAGACCACUGGAGGUCUGGACUUUAAUUGUUUUUAGCCACUGGGAAAACAGGUAAAUUCUGUAUUCCUAUAGCACAGGAGUGCUUGGAAUCACCCCGUGGUGGGGUGAGGUGGGACCAGAGUGGGGACCAGCAUAGAGGAAAGCUGCCUUCAUACCACAUCCCAUCUGCAAAAUCAUCAGGAAUGCUGAAGCGUUCUCAUCCCAGCUCCUCUCUUCAGCUCUGCUCCACCUUACAUUCAUCACGCUUGUAGGAGAUGUUAUACCUGAUAAAUUAAAAUGAUUUCUUGUGUG